UCUCUUUCAACAAAAUUGAAGCCUCCAACAAUGAUAAGAUCCAUGCUGUCGAUGAGAUCGAGCAUCGAUGAUGAGAUCCACUAAUGAGUCCAAUGACAAGAUUUAUGCCACUCCUACCCUCUUUCUUCUUUUCAUUUUCUCCACCACUUGAAGGCAUCAUUCCUCUAUUCUAAGAGCAUCUCAAUUAAAUGAGGCCGAGGGCUAAGGGCUUAGGGUUGGAGGCAUCACACCUCUGAUCUUUUUGGACGAACUUAGAGGGCAUAUAACUGACAUUGGUAUCUCGAUCUAUUGAGUUUGAUCCAAGCCAUCUUAUGCUCAUGGAUUGCCAACCAUAUAAAUUUUAAAGUAUUCCAUCUUUAUCAUUCAUCCAUUCAUACAGAUUUUAAAAUACUUCAUUUUUUCUUAUUCAUCCGUCUGCAUGGAUUUCAAGUAACAGCG
RNAcentral lists this long non-coding RNA (438 nucleotides) under Elaeis guineensis (African oil palm). RNAcentral describes it as "long non-coding RNA (EGUI_LNC015489)". The record is from RNAcentral. Lineage: Eukaryota; Viridiplantae; Streptophyta; Magnoliopsida; Arecales; Arecaceae.